UGAUCUACACUCAGCCUGCCGGUGACCCAA
RNAcentral lists this small RNA (30 nucleotides) under Bombyx mori (domestic silkworm). RNAcentral describes it as "ovarian small RNA-32723". Lineage: Eukaryota; Metazoa; Arthropoda; Insecta; Lepidoptera; Bombycidae. The record is from RNAcentral.